CUUAAAGGACAAUGGCAAUAAAUUUUUUUAUUCUCGAUAUCUAUUAAGCAUACCUACGGAAUACUUAAUUACGUAUUUUCACUUGUCUAUCGCGUUUAGUUGUUCAGAAAUAUCAUAAAACUUUCGACAGUCGUCCGCCAUCUUGAAAAAAACCUGGUAUGCUAAUUUAUGUGAGAAUAAAUUUGUGACGUCAAGAGCAGGGGAAACAAAUAUUGUCAAUAUAAAAUAGUAUGCGUGCGAACACAUUCUACGAAGAUUUUGACCAAAAAGUGCGGAUAAACUCCAAAUUUUUUUGUAUAACUGCGUAAAAAUUUAGCGCUACUACUCUACUGUGUGUUUCAGCUGUGUUUUUGAAAUAAACGCGUUGAUUUCGGCGGUAAAAGCUCUUAGAUUAUAAAUGAUUGGCCAUAGGCAUAGUCUGGUACUAUGUCAAUAUGACAAUAUGCUCGCCCACUUUGUAGACUUUUAUAUUUACUGUUCUCGGUGAUCACGGCACGGCUAUAACCACAUCAACAGGAACAAUAUCGCAUAAAUAAAUACUAUAAAAUGACUGAGAAUAUGUUUUGAUUCUUUGCAAUUCGCGUGCAAAAAUCGUUUUGAUGUUUUUGUGAUAUAAAUAAUGAGGACAAAUAUGUUUAUAAACUUAAUUUUAAUAAAGCAUUAAUAUAUACACCACUGCACUUUAAUAGAUAAUAGGACAAUUGCAAAUAAUGGGGUUGCAUGCUGCACAUUAUAUAAUAAAGCUGAUUACAUGAUUACAUCGAAGGAAUUAGAGGAUCUUCAACCUUGGAUUUUGACUCAGUUCAAAAAUAUAAAAGUUAAAACUAAAUUUCAAACCUGUUUCGAGCACCCAGGCUGAACAAAUUCAAACGCUGUCAACAGUAUAAAACUAGUUUAUCCCCAGGCUUGAAAAUGCUUCAUGUAAUCGGCACAUACUAUAGAGUUAUUAUAUAAAUUUGGCCAAAUUUGAAUAAAUGAACUUUCAAACAAUCUCAAAGCCCCAAACUGCUCUCGAAUACAUAAUUCCCAUUAUAGACUAAUUUUAAAACUAGGCAAGGAGAUGCAAAUAAAUCACCACAGCUAGAAAGAGCAUACUAAAAUGGGUAACAUUGCAAAGCUUGGUUGCGAAAUGUUGUAAAAUGCGGAAAAUAUAGCAAAUUUUGUAUACUUUUGUAUUGCGUGCGUUAAUUGCUACCACAUUUGGGCCGAAAAUUAGCAAUUUCCGCACGCAAUACAAAAGUAUACAAAAUUUGCGAACUUUGCAAGGCUAUGUGUUCCGCAUUUUACAACAUUUCGCAACUAAACUUUGCAAUUUUACUCAUUUUAGUAUGCUCUUUCUAGCUGUCGUGAUUUAUUUGCAUCUCCUUGCCUAGUUUUAAAAUUACUCUAUAAUGGGGAUUUGUCUAUUAUUGUGUGAACACACGCAUGCCGUGAAGUGGCCUUCUGUUCUUAUUCCCCAAAAUCUGAAAUACCCAACGCGAACAUCGUUGGAAGCUACUAGUCUAUAAAUUUUGUGUAUCUUGUCCAAAUCUUUGUCAUCCAGAGGCCAGUUUAAUAUCUUCAAGAUAGCGACAAACGUCUAUUUAAUAGCCCUUCCGAUAAGCAUGUUCGCUUUCAAUUCUGCAUGUAUUGACAGUGUUGUAAAGGCAGUCGAGCACUUCUCCCCUUGGGUUUCAGCCUCCUUUAAUCAUGCAUCUUAUUCAUCGUAUUCUAACGCUUUAUCGUGGCAACAAAACAAUUCAAUAUCUUUUGGCUUCAAUGUGCAAUGCGCCAAGCAUUUUCGACCUCAAACACAUUACACAUCGUGAUUUCCUCGUCAGACGAUUCACUCUGUUCUUCGGAGUCGCUCUCGUCACCGCUAUCGCUUGUUUGUAAGCCCAGUUUAGGUUGAAAUUGAUAAGGUAAUACCUUAUCUACUUGAUAUCGUGGAUAUUUUCCAUCCGAGUAAUCAAAAAGCGCCAAAUUUCUCACUAGAAGUACGAAGUCGCAAUAUGCGCCUAAUAAAAUAUAUUUGUUGUUUUGAUUCUACCCUGCUCUUGACGUCACACAGGUCAUGUGACCCAAAAGAUAAUUUUUUUGAAAAUCGAUCCAAGAUGGCGGACGUACUGAAUAUUUACGGUGAAAUAACUCGAGAACAAAACAUUUUUGAUAAAAACUAAUGGCAUAUUCGUAAUCAGGGGGUCCAGUUUUACCAAUAUCAGGAAUAAAAAAAUUUAUUGCCAUUGUCCUUUAAG
Non-coding RNA from Paramuricea clavata, 2234 nucleotides. Lineage: Eukaryota; Metazoa; Cnidaria; Anthozoa; Malacalcyonacea; Plexauridae. The record is from the annotation of a GenBank genome assembly.